RNAcentral lists this long non-coding RNA (1307 nucleotides) under Salvator merianae (Argentine black and white tegu). RNAcentral describes it as "lncRNA (ENSSMRG00000020097.1)". The record is from RNAcentral. Lineage: Eukaryota; Metazoa; Chordata; Lepidosauria; Squamata; Teiidae.
GGAAAGGAUGGAUGCUUUUGUUGUUGUUGUUGUUGUUGCUGCUGCUGUUUGUUUGUUUGUUUCUAGGGAGGGCCGGAGGAAAAGAGAGCCCCCCCUCCUCCUAAAUCCCGUUGCCCAGCCCAACCACGGCGAUCGGGCCGAGGCGGGGGGGCUUCAAAACCGGAGAGGAAAGGUUUAGACUCCGCGGGAAGUUUGCAGAGUUGGCGCGGGAGGCUUUUCCACGAGAGAAAAAAAUAAAAAUAAACUAAACCGUGGAAUCAAAGCCGCAAGCCCGGGACUGCAUUCAUGAUUUUCAAUAAAUUAAGUCGGCAGCAAUUCUCUCCGUCUUCCCUUCUUUGCAAAGAAAAAGAAAAAGGGGAAAAAAGUCUUUAAAAUCGAUGAGCCGCCGGCAGAGCCGCGGAUCACAACGUCUCCAUCUGGCGCCGGACGCCUCGCAGCCCCCCCGCUAUUAAAAAAAAUGAAGGGGCUUUCUUCCUAAAGCGGGAGUGCGUGGGGGAGAGGGGGGGGUAAGAACAGCUGCAAAGCUUCCCCUCCCGGAAAAAAAAGAGAUCCAGAUGUUGGACGUGACCCCCAAACGCCCCCACACCGACUGGCCGCCUCCUUCUCGGAAAAGGGAGAAGAAUCUGAACUCAAAAAGAUCUCCGAAAGCCCCGCCGGGCCAGCGAUGGGGAGGCAAGCGGUUAGCCGGCGAUUUCAAAGGUCGGGGGGGUCGGCGAAGGGUCUCAUCGGAGCGAGCCGUCGCCGAGGGGGGGGGAGCAGCACAGGGGGGAAACCACAAGCCCCAUCUGGAAGGAAGAAGACGAGGCCUCGGCCCGCUGUCUGGGGAAGGGGCUUCACCUUUUAGGCCCCGCUCGAUCUUCGGCGAAAACGAAGUGAAAGCGCUGGAGACGAGGGGCAGCGGGCGAAAAAGUCUCGCCUCCUCCUUCGCCUUGCCUUCGCUUCCCUUUCUUCUCCUCCCGCGAAGUCGGUCCGCGGCUCACUCGCGUCGCUCCCUCUCGCUGGGGCGCGACCCGGUCCAGAGGCGGGCUGGACGCCUCGCCGCCUUCGCAGCGUUCCCGGAGACUUUUCCCCCAGCCAAGAUCCGCCGCGGCUUCAUCCAGGGCUGGCGAGUCAAGUGAGUGUUGGUCCAGGAUGGACAGCAUCCCCACUUUCACAAUGUGGACGAAUACUUCUGUGCUUGGUCUGGAACAGGUUGGAGUGGAAUAGUUAAAAUGCUCCAAGCAAGGUGAGUCCAGAAACAGCCAAAGUGAGCUCCAAUCAUUCUUUAUUCUUCUCCUGUCUCAUUAUUGUAUUAGUUUAAAAGGAAG